AAGGAGCACCAACUGGCCGAGGUCGCCUCGUGAGAGGGAUCUGGGUCGGUGGCCGCUGUUGACAGCGAAUGUCUGUCAGGUGGCUGCUCAUAGAUGUGGAGCACUGGCUACUCAGCUCACCGCGCGUGUGAGCCGGCAAGUACCGCCUCUGGAUCCUUCGGGAUCGAGGGGAGUGGGAACGGCGGUUUCGGGCGGGUGGCGGGUUGGACACGCUGUUGGGUCCUGAGGGAACGGGCGCGAGCCCGGGUGGCCUCGGACUACGGGACCAGGACCGCAUCACCGUGAGGUGGUGUGGUUUUGGUGGGCCCGGUUGUUUUUUGAGAACUGCACAGUGGACGCGAGCAUCUCUGGUGAACGAUGAGAGCCGCUUUGAAGGCCCCUUCUUUCGGGAGGGUGUGUCUUCGGGUUGUUCUUGUUGUUUAUCUGCGAUUUGUUCUGAUCGUUUUGU
Molecule: unclassified non-coding RNA, 448 nt
Filed under: Actinomadura verrucosospora
Lineage: Bacteria; Bacillati; Actinomycetota; Actinomycetes; Streptosporangiales; Thermomonosporaceae
Description: partial 16S-23S ribosomal RNA intergenic spacer region
Source: RNAcentral